AGCCCAUGGUGAGGGCAUCGUCUCAAAAGAUCCUUGUAUCUCUCUCAUACGUCAUAGAGUGUUUCUAGAUUCAUUUGCACAAAAGAAGAGAUUUCAUUCCUCAACUU
RNAcentral lists this small nucleolar RNA (107 nucleotides) under Gossypium arboreum. RNAcentral describes it as "Plant small nucleolar RNA R71". It matches the Rfam family "Plant small nucleolar RNA R71". From Rfam's summary of the family: R71 is a member of the C/D box family of snoRNAs containing the C (UGAUGA) and D (CUGA) box motifs. Multiple nearly identical copies of this snoRNA have been identified in Arabidopsis, and it is thought to function as a 2'-O-ribose methylation guide for 18S ribosomal RNA. Lineage: Eukaryota; Viridiplantae; Streptophyta; Magnoliopsida; Malvales; Malvaceae. The record is from Rfam by way of RNAcentral.